Molecule: ribosomal RNA, 518 nt
Filed under: uncultured archaeon
Lineage: Archaea
Description: bacterial SSU rRNA
Rfam family: Archaeal small subunit ribosomal RNA
Source: RNAcentral
UCCGGUUGAUCCUGCCGGAGGCCACUGCUAUGGGGGUCCGACUAAGCCAUGCGAGUCAUGGGGUCCCUUCGGGGACACCGGCGGACGGCUCAGUAACACGUCGGUAACCUACCCUCGGGAGGGGGAUAACCCCGGGAAACUGGGGCUAAUCCCCCAUAGGCCUGGGGUACUGGAAGGUCCCCAGGCCGAAAGGGGCUCUGCCCGCCCGAGGAUGGGCCGGCGGCCGAUUAGGUAGUUGGUGGGGUAACGGCCCACCAAGCCGAAGAUCGGUACGGGCCAUGAGAGUGGGAGCCCGGAGAUGGACACUGAGACACGGGUCCAGGCCCUACGGGGCGCAGCAGGCGCGAAACCUCCGCAAUGCGGGAAACCGCGACGGGGGGACCCCCAGUGCCGUGGCACAGCCACGGCUUUUCCGGAGUGUAAAAAGCUCCGGGAAUAAGGGCUGGGCAAGGCCGGUGGCAGCCGCCGCGGUAAUACCGGCGGCCCAAGUGGUGGCCGCUAUUAUUGGGCCUAAAGCG